This 1343-nucleotide long non-coding RNA is filed under the name Salvator merianae (Argentine black and white tegu). RNAcentral describes it as "lncRNA (ENSSMRG00000015919.1)". The record is from RNAcentral. Lineage: Eukaryota; Metazoa; Chordata; Lepidosauria; Squamata; Teiidae.
GCUGCAAUUGCUUGCGCUACAAUAUGCUACAAUUGUUUUGCCCUAUACAGCAGUUCGUGGGAAGGAAAUCACGAUGCUACGCAAGUGCUAAGCUGCUUCAAAAGAGAAAACUUUACAAACAGCAGAAAACACUGUCCAGCCGAGGGUUCUUGUGNUAAUGUGAAAGAAUUUGAGGCCAUCCUGGGCUCGCUACGAAUUUGGACNUCUGUCAGUCCCAGCCAGAAUGGCCAGACCCAAUGCAUCUUCCACAGACCUGUUGACCUCUGGGGGAUUCUGACCACAACUCUCAUCAGCUCCAACCAACACAGCCAGUUGUCAACAUCAGUCAGUUGUGGAGUCUCAAAACAUCUGGAGAACUCCAGCUUGGUAAGUCCUGGCUUAAGCUCCAGAAGAAAAUCACCUGUUUCUUCCUUGGGUCAGAUGAGGCGCAAGCCAUCCGCUCCUGGCAGAAUGCAAGCAAAGGCCGUGAUAGAACAAGUACAGCUGUCUCACUGGUUCUGAAGUUUGGGUCCCCAGGUAUUGGACUAUGGCAAGAUCUACCCAGAAUCUGCUCCCACGCAUGGUCCUUCUGUGGAGUCGUGAAAACAGGCCUGAUUUGUUCCUGCAGCUCCUAUGCAGAAGGCCAGCAGUUGCUGGAGUGAGCAACCUGUCUACCNAAUGCGGAUAUAAGAAGUCUCCAAAAAUAGCCUGCUUCUGAGGCCAUUGCUGGUGCUUCGCGUCAUGACCCCAUUGGAAACCUCGAUGCCAGGGAACUUUCAUUUCCCUGCCCUCAAGGUUUGCAUAGGUCAGGAUGUGAGGACCAAGUGGCAUCCCUCCACCCUGCCCCAUGGCAAAAGUAAGUGCUCCAGUCUAAUAGUAAAAUACCUCCUGUGCCCGUGUGGAUCUUGCCUAUAAUUCCUAUGAAUCCCAGUGAUUCUGGCCAACAGUAAGGAACUAUGGGAAAUGCAGUUCAGUAGUGUUUGGGGACCCAAAUUUGGGAGCCAGUGAGGUAGCUCCUGGGCAACCUUAAAUAUCAAGGCUGCUCCAACUUGAUGAUGGGAGGUGGGGUUCAGCAACACCUUGGUAGGCCCAUCUGUAGAUCCUCAUCUCAAGGAAGCCUGUGGGAAAACAGAUCCCUCAAAAGGGAGAUGAGAUGGUUCUCCUGACGCUGGCCGCGGUAUGUAUUACUCUGUCGAAAGAACUAGAGACGUGUUCAGCUUCGGCAUAAAGCCAAAACCUGGACGUCAAAGCCCUGUUUAUCGGUUCAUCUUUCACACUGUCUUCCCACGCUUCCCAGCAAAAAGAGGGGUGCGUUGUAUUAUUGUCCUCUGUUCACAGCAGCCUUUUAAAAUGUGUACUCAUUA